This 327-nucleotide ribosomal RNA is filed under the name uncultured Tissierella sp. RNAcentral describes it as "bacterial SSU rRNA". It matches the Rfam family "Bacterial small subunit ribosomal RNA", at positions 568 to 898 of the family's 1533-position model. Lineage: Bacteria; Bacillati; Bacillota; Tissierellia; Tissierellales; Tissierellaceae. The record is from RNAcentral.
UUCGCAGGCGGUUUUUUAAGUCAGAUGUGAAAGGCUACGGCUCAACCGUGGUAAGCAUUUGAAACUGAAAGACUUGAGUUAAGGAGAGGAAAGUGGAAUUCCUAGUGUAGCGGUGAAAUGCGUAGAUAUUAGGAGGAAUACCAGUGGCGAAGGCGACUUUCUGGACUUAUACUGACGCUGAGGAACGAAAGCGUGGGGAGCAAACAGGAUUAGAUACCCUGGUAGUCCACGCCGUAAACGAUGAGUGCUAGGUGUUGGGGGUCAAACCUCGGUGCCGCAGCUAACGCAUUAAGCACUCCGCCUGGGGAGUACGUACGCAAGUAUGAA